UUUGAGGUUUGAAAAACUUUAAAGUGUAGGAUAAAUGUGUUUGUAGUGUGAAAAUGUGAGUGAUGUGAGUUUAAAUAGACAAUUUUAGCAAUGAUGACAAGAGGUGUACGCAGACAUGGGGGGAAAUGUAAAUGUUUAGACCUAAUUCCAAGAAUUGUUAAACCCAAUGUGUCACGCUUUAAUCACGCAUGCUCGGAAAGUGGGACAAUUGCCUCCACUAAGAAUCACACGAAAUCAAACGACAAGACAACCAUUAAAU
Molecule: long non-coding RNA, 259 nt
Filed under: Lathyrus oleraceus (garden pea)
Lineage: Eukaryota; Viridiplantae; Streptophyta; Magnoliopsida; Fabales; Fabaceae
Description: Pisum sativum (pea) long non-coding RNA (PSAT_LNC025317)
Source: RNAcentral